Molecule: long non-coding RNA, 1115 nt
Filed under: Sus scrofa (pig)
Lineage: Eukaryota; Metazoa; Chordata; Mammalia; Artiodactyla; Suidae
Description: lncRNA (ENSSSCG00050020122.1)
Source: RNAcentral
GGCGGCGAGGCCGGGGGCUGUGGACCGGCCCGCCGGGGAGGGGCCAGGGAGAGGGGGGCGGCCCCUCGGUCAGCGCGGCCCGGAGGCCAGACCCGGUGCCCAGCUCCCCAGCGGGCGCCUGCCCUGGGCUGUAGUACGGGAGCCUCGGCAGUCUCGGGCGAGAGUUUCGGGAGAGGGUCCCGAGAUCCCGCCUUGCGGGGUUCGGAACCCGGCCCUGGCCCGCGACUCGGACCUACCCCGAGCAGGGCCCCGGUGAGGCCGCGGUGCCCCCGCUUUCAGAGCCCCGCCGCGCGCGGAACCGCAGGAGCAGGACGUCCACCGGCGGUUUGCGAGCGGCGGGCUCGGGAUUCUAGGCUUCUCCUAUUGUGACUAUUUGUAGUUUGUAAGUUUUUUUCUAGUGAACACUGUGGUGUUUUUUCAUUAAGAGCGGCGAUUUUUUCAAGGCGCCUGCAGAAGUUGAGCGGCCCGGCCCCGCAGUGUGAGCGGCCCCUUUCCAGACUGCAGGACUGCGCGUUCCUGGGCCCGGGACCCGGCUCCUCCUCCCUCGGCUCCCCGGCCGGCCCCGCCCCGCCCCCGCCCAUGCCCCGCCCUCCACUCCUGACCCCGCCCCUCCCCCGGCUGCGGCGAAAAUCCGGAGUGGCGGAUUGCCCUCUGCUCCGCGGGAGCCGGCUGUGGGCUCCUGCAGGAGCGGUGCCGGGGGUGCGGCUGACGCCGCUCCGCGCUCCCUCUUCUCACUCUGUCCUGGGCGAGCCACGCGGGGCAGCGCCGCGACCCCAGCCGCCGGCCCUGCCUCAGAAGCGGGUCAGGACCCGACUGAGCAUGCUCGCCCUCCAGCGCAGCGUGGCUCGACCAGGUGGACGCUGCCGGGACCCGGGGUCGGACCGCGCAGGGGAGGCGCAGGUGCGUGGUCCGGCCGCAGGUGCAGGGGACCUGGCUGGAAGGCGGGGGAGGGGCAUCUGGCCUGCAGAACCUCGCUCCACCUCGGAUGCGCUUGAGGUGGGCAUAGGAAUUUGCUUCGAAGCCUGUAACGGAAAAGAAGACGGGAAUGGAGGGCUUACAGGGAAGAGAUUUCACAGGUUCUAGAUGAAUAAACUCAACCCAGACAGAUGCUUUCA